AGUGAACGCUGGCGGUAGGCCUAACACAUGCAAGUCGAACGGCAGCACAGUAAGAGCUUGCUCUUACGGGUGGCGAGUGGCGGACGGGUGAGGAAUAAAUCGGAAUCUACUUUUUCGUGGGGGAUAACGUAGGGAAACUUACGCUAAUACCGCAUACGACCUACGGGUGAAAGCAGGGGAUCUUCGGACCUUGCGCGAUUGAAUGAGCCGAUGUCGGAUUAGCUAGUUGGCGGGGUAAAGGCCCACCAAGGCGACGAUCCGUAGCUGGUCUGAGAGGAUGAUCAGCCACACUGGAACUGAGACACGGUCCAGACUCCUACGGGAGGCAGCAGUGGGGAAUAUUGGACAAUGGGCGCAAGCCUGAUCCAGCCAUACCGCGUGGGUGAAGAAGGCCUUCGGGUUGUAAAGCCCUUUUGUUGGGAAAGAAAAGCAGCAGGUUAAUACCCCGCUGUUCUGACGGUACCCAAAGAAUAAGCACCGGCUAACUUCGUGC
This 493-nucleotide ribosomal RNA is filed under the name uncultured bacterium. RNAcentral describes it as "partial 16S ribosomal RNA". It matches the Rfam family "Bacterial small subunit ribosomal RNA", at positions 29 to 508 of the family's 1533-position model. The record is from RNAcentral.